AACGAACGCUGGCGGCAGGCCUAACACAUGCAAGUCGAGGGGGAAGCCACUUUCGGGUGGUGGAGACCGGCGCACGGGUGAGUAACGCGUGGGAAUUUACCUUGGAGUGGGGGAUAACCGCUGGAAACGGCGGCUAAUACCGCAUACGCCCUUAGGGGGAAAGCUUUAGCGCUCUGGGAUGAGCCCGCGUUAGAUUAGGUUGUUGGUGGGGUAAAGGCCUACCAAGCCUACGAUCUAUAGCUGGUCUGAGAGGAUGAUCAGCCACACUGGGACUGAGACACGGCCCAGACUCCUACGGGAGGCAGCAGUGGGGAAUAUUGGACAAUGGGGGCAACCCUGAUCCAGCCAUGCCGCGUGCGUGAAGAAGGCCUUAGGGUUGUAAAGCGCUUUCACUGGUGAAGAUGAUGACGGUAGCCAGAGAAGA
RNAcentral lists this ribosomal RNA (424 nucleotides) under uncultured Pelagibius sp. Its description in RNAcentral is "bacterial SSU rRNA". It matches the Rfam family "Bacterial small subunit ribosomal RNA", at positions 29 to 488 of the family's 1533-position model. The record is from RNAcentral. Lineage: Bacteria; Pseudomonadati; Pseudomonadota; Alphaproteobacteria; Rhodospirillales; Rhodovibrionaceae.